This 1601-nucleotide long non-coding RNA is filed under the name Sorghum bicolor (sorghum). RNAcentral's name for it is "long non-coding RNA (SBIC_LNC006608)". The record is from RNAcentral. Lineage: Eukaryota; Viridiplantae; Streptophyta; Magnoliopsida; Poales; Poaceae.
GCCGACUGACAGAGCUACUUUGACGACAAUUAUCUCCUAAACCAGCACGAACCAGGAGAUGAUGUAGUUGACAAACUUGGAGUACUAGCCGAUAUCUACAACUUUGCCAACUGGAGCAAAAGCUAGAUCGGCCUGGGUUGAGAGAUAUAGAGUUUCCAAAAUCGAUCGAGCAAACUAGUUUCGUUCCAAGACUUAGAAAUUUUUCUAAGUGUUGGAAACAGCCCCAAAUCUGCCUUGUGGGUCACUUUUGAGCUAUUUGUGUCAUUUUCAUGAGAUGGCCAUCAAACAACUUUUAUUCCUUAUAAAAUUUGCUACAACUUUGCUGUAGGAAGUUUUGACAUGCAAACAUUUUAUGCAACACUUUUUAAAAGCCUAAGCAAAGAGGUUUCUAGGGCCUAUUUACACAAAUAUGACUUAAAGGCAUAUUUUGGAGAAGUGAUCAACAUGAACAUUGUUCCCAAGGUUAAGUUAAGCCUAGAUAAACUAAUUACCAAAGCAUAGAGCACAAACACAAGCAUGGUUCACUCAAACAUAAGCAUAGGAAGCCUAUUUAAGCAAUUUAAAACACAAUUUUGCAAAGAAUGACAUGGCUCAAGAUAGAUGAUGAUCAUGAUAUGCUUUGAGUGGAUGAUGAUGCUCAUGCUAUGCACAUGAUCAAUGCAACCAUAACACUGCGUGCUACAGUUUUCGUCUUGCUUUCCCGAAAAAGAUAGGUUUUGAAUCAUAGCAAUCAACCUAGAACUUAAACUAUACUGGGAUGUUUGGAUAGGCUGUGAUGACUCCCAUGGUAAAAGGUUAGUUUACAGAAGGGAUUGCAGAUUCAUGGAUUGAUUUAGAAUCUUGGUUUUCCAUAAGGUAAGAAUAAAAAAAAUAAAUAAAGAAUAUAAAAGAUAAGAAAAAAUAAAAGUAUAGAUACAAGCUAGUAGUAAGACUCAAGGUUAUCUCAGCAAACCGUGUUUCUCCACGGCAACGGCGCCAGAAAUGCUUGUUGAUAUUUGGGAACGCAAUAAGGAAUUGAUCCGCAAGCGCACGGAUAUCGGUGAGCACUUCACCCGGGAGGUUAUCCAGAGUAUCGUAUUUAUUUUUUUACCACUAGGAGAAAGAGUGCAUCUGACUAACCCGGUCUAUUACUACUAACCUUUAGGCUACAAAGAAUGUUUCUUGAUGUGAGAGAUAAAUAGAGAAGGCUACAAUUGUAAUAUCCUUCUAACCUUGGUAUGGAUGAUCUACUGUUCUAUUGGGGAAGCUUACGGAAUCUAGACACCACAAAGGAUGUUCAACCCACACCUAUAAACCCUAUCCUUCCUGCUAACGAGAUAUGGUCUGCAAAGGUAAAUCAAAAAUGUCACGUUCCUCGCGACUACCACGGUUUAGCUAGUCAGGGAAUAUAUAUAUGAGUAUCCUAGCCCAAACUCCACGUCUACACUAGAGAUGAUUACUCUAGACUCUACGCGAAGAGAUUAAAGUAAAGUCAUAAACCAAAGAACAAUAAAACAAGAACUUACUAGAAUUUAGAAGUCGAAAUACUGAAGAAUCCUAGGAGCAAGCUUUGGGUUAGGAGAACUUGAUCCCGCAGGUACAACCUCGGAGUAAACACCGAC